This 694-nucleotide ribosomal RNA is filed under the name Dermatophagoides farinae (American house dust mite). RNAcentral describes it as "SSU rRNA". It matches the Rfam family "Eukaryotic small subunit ribosomal RNA", at positions 1055 to 1760 of the family's 1831-position model. The record is from RNAcentral. Lineage: Eukaryota; Metazoa; Arthropoda; Arachnida; Sarcoptiformes; Pyroglyphidae.
AGCCAGAGUUUAUUGUAUGACUCGGCUGGCGGCUUCCGGGAAACCAAAGUUUUUCGGUUCCAGGGGAAGUAUGGUUGCAAAGCUGAAACUUAAAGGAAUUGACGGAAGGGCACCACCAGGAGUGGAGCCUGCGGCUUAAUUUGACUCAACACGGGAAAACUCACCCGGUCCGGACACUGGGAGGAUUGACAGAUUAAGAGCUCUUUCUUGAUUCAGUGGGUGGCGGUGCAUGGCCGUUCUUAGUUGGUGGAGCGAUUUGUCUGGUUAAUUCCGAUAACGAACGAGACUCUAGCCUACUAAAUAGUGUUGAACACCCGUUGUGUUGUUCGAACGCUUCUUAGAGGGACAAACGGCGUUUCAGCCGUAUGAAAAAGAGCAAUAACAGGUCUGUGAUGCCCUUAGAUGUCCGGGGCCGCACGCGCGCUACACUGAAAAAAUCAGCGUGCAUGUGUCUACCUACUUCGAAAGAAGCGGGAAACCGAGUGAAACUUUUUCGUGAUUGGGAUUGGGGAUUGUAAUUGUUGUCCAUGAACGAGGAAUUCCCAGUAAGCACAAGUCAUCAGCUUGUGUUGAUUACGUCCCUGCCCUUUGUACACACCGCCCGUCGCUACUACCGAUUGGAUGUUUUAGUGAGGUCUUCGGACAGGCCAACGUAGCCAUCCUCGUGGUGGCCAUGUUCGCCGGAAAGAUGACC